RNAcentral lists this transfer RNA (103 nucleotides) under Pelodiscus sinensis (Chinese soft-shelled turtle). It matches the Rfam family "tRNA". Rfam says of the family: Transfer RNA (tRNA) molecules are approximately 80 nucleotides in length. Their secondary structure includes four short double-helical elements and three loops (D, anti-codon, and T loops). The record is from Rfam by way of RNAcentral. Lineage: Eukaryota; Metazoa; Chordata; Testudines; Trionychidae.
UGCUCUGUGGUGCAAUGGAAAGCAUGUUGGACUUAAGCUGCAAUGGUAAAUGUGAGCCCAGCUAGACAUUUGAAGGUUGUGGGUUCAAAUCCCACCAGAGUCA